AAGUUAGCCACCUCAAUAAAUGCUUAAUUGCUUGAUGCAGCCUCACCACUUAACCAUACCGCACCCAUUAAACUUUGCUAAUCUUGAUACCUUUGGAAAUGAGAUUCCUCAGUCCCUCUGGCGCAUAGAUUACUACAAUAACUGUUGCAGGUGCAGGUAAAGCGAUAAUUUGACGUGAGCACGAUGAUUGUGCUAUUUGGAGUUUCUUCUUCUUCAUCGUCGAUCUAGAAUGGGUUCUAGGCCAGUAGACUGGGAUA
Molecule: long non-coding RNA, 257 nt
Filed under: Hordeum vulgare
Lineage: Eukaryota; Viridiplantae; Streptophyta; Magnoliopsida; Poales; Poaceae
Description: long non-coding RNA (HVUL_LNC010113)
Source: RNAcentral